Long non-coding RNA from Prionailurus viverrinus (fishing cat), 508 nucleotides. RefSeq lists it as uncharacterized. The record is from RefSeq and is a predicted model, not a curated record. Lineage: Eukaryota; Metazoa; Chordata; Mammalia; Carnivora; Felidae. The transcript has 3 exons.
GAGUUGGAGCUCGGUAAACAUUUGCUGUGGACUGAAAGCAGUUCAAUCCCCCCUCUUCAGCGUGGUUUCUUGACUUCCGGUGCCCCAGGUGACCCUCUGAAAACCUGGAUUGACAACCGCUGCCAGUGGAGGAGCCCAUCUUCCCAAGCCUACGCAUGGAUCCCUGGAGGACUCAGGCUAUGAACAAACCCACAUUCACCGCAGGCUGCUCUUCGGGACUGCCUGGCGGGGCCAGGACUCACAGGAGACUAUCACUUUGAAAAGCAAAGACAGUGCCUUUAUUCACUAUGAGGGAUCUUGGGGCCGCUAACCUAGAUCAAGAGAAGCCUGAGGUGCACAGAGCUCCCCCUUCCCCUCCAUCAGAGGGACGUAAUGCUCCAUUCAUGGAGGACCUGUUAGCCCUAUUUAGCUCCGGAAAAAUAUUCCAGUUAACAAAGGCACAGCCUGCUUAGGGGCAGGAGGGUGGCGCUGGAGAGCUGUGGGAGGACUACAGGACAAGGUCGGGUCC